Long non-coding RNA from Diospyros lotus (date-plum), 7737 nucleotides. RefSeq lists it as uncharacterized. Lineage: Eukaryota; Viridiplantae; Streptophyta; Magnoliopsida; Ericales; Ebenaceae. The record is from RefSeq and is a predicted model, not a curated record. The transcript has 4 exons.
CACAUAUGCAGCCCUUCUCCCCCCUCGCUGCCCUUCUGCAAACCCUUCUCCCUCCCUCGCUCCAUCCGUCGCCGGUCGCUCGCUCGUCCGUCGCCCUCGCCCUCGCUCGUGCUCUCUGCCUCUCUCGAUCUCGCUCUUGCUCGCUGCUUCUCUCUCGCUUUCGCUCGCCCUCGCUGUUGCUCGCUGGUUCUCUCGUUCUCGCUCGCUGCGCACUGCUCUCUCGAUCUCGCUCUUGCUUGCUGCUUCUCUCUCACUCCCCCUCGCUGUUGCUCGCUAGCUCUCUCGUUCUCGCUCGCUGCGACAGUGCUGCAAACACCCAUAUAUGCUUCAUCCGAGCCCGGAUCUGUACAACUGUUAUGUUAUUUGGUAGACCCAGUCACAGAGACAAGCUAUGCUCUUACUUAUUGAAAGUUGGGAUAUCUCUUGCUUCACUAUUUGGACAUGCCACAUAGAAGAUGAACAAAUAUGACAUAUAGAGCAUCAUAUGGCCAAUCUAUGCGACAUCGCCAGUUCAGAUAGAGUGAUGGCGAGGACCACAUUGGGGAACAUUCAUUUCCGUCGGCCAAGAUGAGGUUUGAUUCUCCUAGCCCAUAGACACCCCACCCUAGCUAUGACGGGCCUUCUUCCACGCCCAUUGAAGUUGAGGUUUCAUCUACGCCCACAGUUACCUCUUAAAAUCAUCUCAUGACACGCCAGUUAGGUUUCUUAUAAGUAUUUCUUAUUUACUAAUUAAUUUUUAUUUCAACAAAGAAACUUUCAUUUUAGCACACGAGUUCACAAACUAAUAUGUGCUUUAACAUGUUUGAUAACAAUUUGUGCAAAUUGGAUAUUUCUUGAAUCAUCCAAAGUAAGCUUGAGGGGUUAUGCCUAAAUUGGAAAAAGACAAACCAUACUUUCAGAGAAAUGUGGUUUGACAAGUUUAAGGUAAUGUAUUGCUUUAGUAUAUCAAUGAUUGAUGAUUUGCUUUAAUAAUGUCUAAAUUUAAUUUUUAUUGCAAUCAAGUGAAUAGUAUGAUUAUGGUUUGUAAAAAAAUGAUUCAUAUUCACAAUAAAACAACACUUUUGUUAUUAGUAGUAUAAAUUAAAUAGUGUAUCUUCGUACCGUUGGUAAUAUGCGAUCUUUGAAUGUUUUUUUAUUAUAUGUAUACAUGUUUUUUCUAUUUCUUAUAUUUAUUUUUAUAUGACUAGCUGUGUUAGUGAUUAGAAAUAAAUGUCUCACAUAUUCUAUUCAAGAAAUUUUUUUUAAUAUGAGUAUUAUAUGAGCGAUAUGUUUGCUAUGAAAAUAACCAUUGUUUUGAUUUUAUUUUGUUUUUUAUUUUUUUUAACUUUUACUUUGUCUUAAUAUUAUAGAAGAACUGGUCUUGGGAUAGUGAAUUGGAACAUCAAAGCAAGAUUAAUUUUGAAAAUAUUGGCUCCAACUGUUUGACAGACAUAUUGUUUCUUGCCCAAAAAAAUUUGAUUAAAAAAUCAGGUUGGAUGUGUCCGUCUGUAUUCGAAGUCUUAAAAGAGUAUUAGAAUUCUGUAGAAUUCAAGAACAAGUCUGAAAAAAUAAAGAAAAAUUGAGUCUCAGAUGUUGGGGGCAAUAUGCAUACUUGUGGUUCUAUUCUCAUGACGGAGCAUAAGAAAAGAUUGAUAAUAUUUGAUAUUUUUUUAUUUUUAUUUUACUUAAUUAAUUUUUAAGAAACAAUAAUUUUUGCAUGAAUAUAUUUUUUUCUCUUUCAAUCGAGGCAAUUUGGUUGCCUACAUAGAAUAUCCUCGGUUGUAAGGGAAAAAAGGUAUUUAUGUAAAAAUUGUUGUUUUUUAAAAAGUAAUGAAGCAAAAUAAAAAUAAUAAGAAAAUGUCAAAUAUUAUCAAUUUUUUUUUUAUGCUCCAACAUGAGAAUAGAACCACAGGUAUGCAUACUGUCCCCGACAUCCGAUGCUCGAUUUUUAUUUGUUUUUUCAGACUUGUCCUUCAAUUAUGCAGAAUUUCAAUACUCUUUUAAGACUUCAAAUACAGACGGACACAUCCAAUCUGAAUUUUUUAGUUAAAUCUUUGUGAGUACGAAACAAUAUGUUCGUCAUACGGUCGGAAGCAGUCUUUUCAAAAUUAGUCCUGAUUUGAUUUUCCAAUUCACUAUUCUAAGAUCAGUCUUCUAUAAUGUUAAGACAAAGUAAACGUUAAAAAAAAUAAAAUCAAAACAAGGGUUAUUUCAUAACAAGCAGACCACCCAUAUAGUAUACAUGCUAAAUAAAUUUCUCGAAUAGAAUAUGUGAAACAUUUAUUUCUAAGCACUAGCACAAUUAGUUAUACAAAAAUGGAUACAAGAAUUAAAAAAAAAUACAUGUAUACGGAUAAUAAAAAAGUAUUCAAAUAUUGCAUACUACUAAUAAUUCGAAGAUACACCAUUAAAUCUAUACUACUAAUGACAUGAGUGUUGUUUUAUUGUGAACAUGAAUCACCUUUUUACAAGUCAUAACCAUACCAUUCACUCAAUUGCAAUUCAAAUUAAAUUUAGACAUUAUUAAAUUAAAUCAUCAAUCAUAGAUAUACUAAAAUAACACAUUACCUUAAACUCGCAAAAUCACAUUUCUCUGACAGCAAGGUCUAUCUUUUUCCAACUUGGGUAUGGCCCCUCAAACUUACUUUGGAUGAUUCAGAAAAUAUCUGGUUUGUACAAGUUGUUAUCAAACCUGUUAAAAUACACAUUAGUUUGUGAACUCAUGUGCUAAAAUGAAAGUUUCUUUGUUGAAAUAAAAAUUAAUCAGUAAAUUAAGGAAUACUUACGAGGAACCCAACGGACAUGUCAUGAGACGGUUUUGAGGGGUAGUGUUAUUUCACUUGUAUUAAAUUAGAUGAUAAUUUGUGUAUGCUGUCAUUUGUAUACUUCCUCUCUGCAUUUUUUCGAUUAGAAUAAGUAUAAUUCUAGAAGGUAUGUUUCUAGAAUGGUGGUUGACUGUUUCAAUUAGUUAGUUAAUUUUGGUUAGACGGUCAGUUAGUUAAGUCAUUGUAUCUCACGCCCCUAUAAUCUAUAAAUAGGGAUCAUGGGGCAAGGCAGUGGGGUGUGUGUGUGCGCUUCAUUACAGAAAGGUCUUUUGUUUCUAUCUUGUGGGUUAGGAUUAAUGGAGAGAUUGAAAGAGAAAGGCUGGGUAUAAGUCUUGUAUUCUCGGGAAUCUAUUUAACUUUUAGGGUAUAUGGGUUGGGUAUAGAUUCGAGUACUCUUGUAAUCAUCCUAAAGGUUGUUUCAAAAUUGUGGAUUGGAGUGCAGAAUAGCAGUCUGAAUGUAGGUCUCUUUUGAGAUCGAACCAGUAUAAAUCUUCGUGUGUUCUUACUGUUUUUUUUUUGAUUCUCGGUUAUGUUAUUUAUAUUGUUUGUGUUCUCGGGUGUGGGAAUGUCUAGGGUGAGUUAUUAGAGUUGAGAGAAUUUGAGGGAGUGCUGCGAUAUACUCUAACAAAGUGGUAUCAAAGCGAAUAAGUCUUCUUCAGCGACCAAGAUUUUCAAGAAACUCAAGGAAUCUCGCUCAACACAAGAAAAUGAUAUGGCGCAAUCUACCUCCAGAUUUGACAUUGAUAAAUUUGAUGGGACAAAUGAUUUCGACUUAUGGAGGAUAAAGAUGGAAGCUCUUUUCUGUAGUCAAGAACUUGAGGGAGCUUUGGAACAUGAAGCCAAGACAAUAGACAUAACUACCGGGAAUGAAGUACCGACAGUGACUGAAGAACAAGAAAAAGCUCAAAAAUAAAUCAACAAAAAGGCCUAUAGUAUGCUGAUUCUAAGUCUGAGAGAUAAAGUACUUCAAGAGGUAUUGAAGUGGAAGACGGCGACAGAAAUCUGCAAGAAGCUUGAAGACCUCUACCUUAGAAGAACUCUGUCUAGCCGUCUAUACUUAAAGGCCGGGUUUUUCAACUUCAAAAUGCUAGAAUCUCAAAAAUUGCAGAUCAUAUAGAUAAAUUUAACAAGUUGGACAUAGAUUUAGAGAACAUAGGAGUGAAAUAUGAAGAUGAGGACAAAGCGUUAGUGCUCUUAUAUUCACUGCCUAAAUCUUAUGAGAAUGUUGUAGACAUCCUUCAACAUGGUGGAGAUAAGCUCACAUUAGAAGAUGUCAUUGGUGCAUUAAAUUCCAAAUAAUUGAGGUUUAAGAUGAAUGAUAAAACUACUCAUGGGAUGCCUUAUCAGUUAGAUCAAGAAGCACAAAAAAAGACAAAAAGAAUAGAGGUAAAUCUAGAUCUAAAUCUAGGAAUGGAAAAAGUCCUCUAAAGUGCUGUUACUGUCAGCAAGAAGGUCACAUUAAGCGACUUGGUCCAAAGAGGAAGAAGGACUUAGCCGAAAAGGAAAAUUUAGGAAGAGGGGCAAACUAUUGUGACUUUAGUUAAUGAUAGUUUGGAAGCCCUUAUAUUAAGUGAAAAUGCAAACAACUUAGAGUGGGUCCUGAACUCUGGUUGCUCCUUUCACAUGACCCCAAGAAAACAUUGGCUGCAAAACUUUAAAGAAAUCGAUGGAGGAAAGGUCUUGCUUGGAAAUAAUCAUGAAUGCAAGGUUCAAGGGAUUAGAGAUAUUAGGUUAAAGCUCCAUGAUGACUCUCUUAGAACCCUAACAUCCGUUAGGUAUGUCCCUGAAUUAAAAAAAAAUCUGAUAUCUCUUGGUGAAUUGGAUAGGAAUGGUCUUAAGUUUAAAGGUGAAGAUGGAGCUGUCCAAAUUUUAAAGGGGUCUCUAAUCUGCAUGAGGGCUGUUUUAAAGAAUGUAAUUUAUCUUCUGCAGGCCAUCAUUCUAGGUGGUGAAACUAUAGUCGUUAGCAUUAAUUCUAGGUCCAAAGCAAGUCUGUGGCAUUUAAGCAUGUCACAUAUUAGUGAGCAAGGGCUUAAGGAACUUGCAAACCAAUGUAUUCUGGAUUUAGGACAAUCUCUAAAAUUAAAUAAAUGUGAAUCCUGCAUCUCAAGCAAAGCAACCAAAGUUAAAUUCAAUAAAACAACAAUCCAUUCAUCUAAAGCACCCUUAGAUUAUAUACAUUCAGACUUAUGGGGUCCAGUCCAAACAGAAACUCAUGGGGGCUCUCGGUAUUUCUUAUCAAUUAUAGAUGACUACUCAAGGAUGAUGUGAGUAUAUGUUCUAAAAUCAAAGAAUAACAUUUUUGAAAUAUUUAGGACAUGGAAAAGUAUGGUAGAGAACCAAAAUGGCAAGUCGGUCAAGGUCAUAAGAACUGGCAAUGGGUUGGAAUUUUGUAAUAGAGAGUUUGACCAAAUGUGUAAGGAUGGUAGUAUUAUUGGACAUCUUACAGCUCUCGAAAAUCUCAAGCAAAAUGGGGUUGCCGAGAGGAUGAAUAGAAUCCUCUUGAAAAGGGUAAGAUGCAUGUUUUUUCAUGCUUAUUUACCCAAGUCUUUUUAGGGGUGAAGCUAUUGCUGCAGCAGCUCAUGUUCUUAACAGAACACCCUCUAAAGCUAUCAGUCUCCAAACCCCUUAUGAAAGAUGAACUAAACAUAAGCUAAGCUUAACCUAUCUUAGAGCAUUCGGUUGCCGAGCCUAUGCUCAUAUAAAGCAAGGAAAACUAGAACCAAGGGCAAAGAAAUGCCUGUUCAUUUGUUACCUAUCGAGUGUUAAAGGCUACAAACUAUGGAACUUAGAAUCAGAUGGACCAAAAACUAUAGUUUCUAGGGAUGUUUCAUUUGAUGAGGAGUCUACCAUAAAAUUAGGAAGCCAUGAACCUCAGCAUGAUCAGGAAGAACCUAGAGAAACAGUUUGGGUGGAGAUUCUUGAUAUAACCCCAAAUCUGACCCAAGAUGUCCCAGAAUCCGAGCAUGAAAUUCCUAAACCUAAAUCUAUUAGUGACCAUCACCAAGUCCAAGAACUUUCUCAAAUUGAAGGGGAAGACAGUGACAAUGAUGUAGAUUCCAGCUUAGGAGACCUCCUUAACCCUGAUAGGUAUAAUGUGGUAAGAGACUGGCAGCUUAGAUCCCGUAGACCUCUCCAAAGAGAAGGUUACUCAGACCAAGUAGCCUAUGUAUUCAUUAAUGCAACAUAAUCUAUAAGAGAAGAUCCUCUUGUGAAGUGGUAAUGGCCUCAAAGGAUGCAGACAAGUAGCUGGAAGCGAUGUAGUCUGAGAUUGCAUCCCUUAAGAACCAUACCUAAGAAUUAGUUGAAAGACCAAAAGGGUAGCGUGUGGUAGGCUGCAAAUGGUUGUUCAAAAUUAAAAAGGGAGCAGGAGUUCACUCUAAGCCUAGGUAUAAGGUAAGACUGUUGUAAGAGGUUUUACUCAAGUUCCACUUGUUAACUUUAACGAAGUGUUCUCUCCAGUUGUGAGACACUUCUAUAAGAAUUCUUCUAGCCAUUACUACCCAAUUAGAUCUAUAUCUUGAGCAAAUGGAUGUAACAACCGCUUUUCUUCAUGGAGACCUAGAGGAGAAGAUUCUAAUGGAUCAACCUAAGGGUUUUGAACUUAGGGAGAGGUGGAGAAGGUAUGCCUGCUUAGAAAGUCCUUGUAUGGACUUAAAUAGUCUCCAAGGUAGUGGUAUCGAAAGUUUGAUUCGAUCAUGUUAGGUCAAGUAAUAAAUAAAGUUUGAAUGUCCCUCUACAAAAAAAAAAAAAAAAAAAAAUGAUUGUGAGAGGUUUGACAUGCAAAGUAAUAAAUAAACUAAAGAUAAGGUGUAUCAAUGUGGUCCUUGCAUCACUCUGUCUGAACUGACAAUGUCGCAUAGAUUGGCCAUAUGAUGCUUUGUGUAUCAUAUUCUGUCAUACAUGACAAAGAACAAUUAGCUUGUGAUAACAAUUUUUAAAUACUUUGAAAAUAAAAUAUGAUUUAUCAUAUAAAAUAAUAGUUUAUGUUAUAUUCAUGAACUCGUGUUUAAAAUUGUGUUUUUUGUACUAACAGAUUAAAUGUAAGGAUAAUAUUGUAGUUUUUCACUAUCACCUAUGUAGCUAUUCUGUGUUCUCUGACUGCUCGUCGUUAUACUCCUCUUCCUCUUCGUCCUCAUCUUCGACUUCUUCAUUGUUUAGCUUCUCAUUACCCGCAACAAGGUUUUGAUCGUAGGAGUACUCAUCCACCCAUUCGAAUUCUCUAACUUCAUAUCUAAGGAUGUCAAGUUGUUCGUCUCCAACUGCAGUCGACUGCACUGACAUUUCCUCAUGUGCCUGAUAUGCAUCCCUUGGUUUCUCGAUAAUUGGGGCGUGAACUAUACUUCUAGAAUUAGCUCGAAUGACCACCCAUCAGUCUAUAAAGUUUCGUUGUUGAGAUGGAUACGGAGCCUAAUAAACUUGAUGCGCUUGAGAGGCAAGUAUAAAAAGAUCAUACCGAUUGUACCUCCUGUUUGCUCGAAUCUCAACUAUUCCAUAUUGAUCAUGUAUUCGAGUCCCACGUCUUGGGGUCAGGUCAUGUUCAAUUACACAAUACCACUUGUUUGAUUGGUAAUUCUGGGUAUUCCAAUUGAAUUACCUCUUGGAGUAUACCAUAAUAGUCAUCUCUGGGUUGCCUGUAUACUGACCCUCCAGUGCAAACUCCGUUGUUUCUUAUUGACUUGCCUCGAUUCCAUGAAUCUGUGUGAAACUUGUACCCAUUGAUAAUAUACACAGGCCAUGUGCGCACCAUUUUCAAGGGGCCUCCCAUGACAUGUCACGUAUUUGUUGAUUAUUAAUCUUAUUAGUUGGAUCAUGCACACAUGCGUAUAUAAAAUACAUGGCAUAAUUUGUAUAUUUGUCACGACAAUAAGUUUAACAAUUUAAGAUAAACUUACGUAUUCUUUGAACCAUUUCGAGAAAUCAACCUCUAUCCUCU